AGACACGGCCCAGACUCCUACGGGAGGCAGCAGUGGGGAAUAUUGGACAAUGGGCGAAAGCCUGAUCCAGCAACGCCGCGUGAGGGAUGGCGGCCUUCGGGUUGUAAACCUCUUUCAGCAGGGACGAAGCGAAAGUGACGGUACCUGCAGAAGAAGCACCGGCCAACUACGUGCCAGCAGCCGCGGUAAUACGUAGGGUGCGAGCGUUGUCCGGAAUUAUUGGGCGUAAAGGGCUCGUAGGCGGUUGGUCACGUCGGGAGUGAAAACUCGGAGCUUAACUCCGAGCCUGCUUCCGAUACGGGCCGACUAGAGGUAUGCAGGGGAGAACGGAAUUCCUGGUGUAGCGGUGAAAUGCGCAGAUAUCAGGAGGAACACCGGUGGCGAAGGCGGUUCUCUGGGCAUUACCUGACGAUGAGGAGCGAAAGUGUGGGGAGCGAACAGGAUUAGAUACCCUGGUAGUCCACACCGUAAAC
This 473-nucleotide ribosomal RNA is filed under the name uncultured bacterium. RNAcentral's name for it is "bacterial SSU rRNA". It matches the Rfam family "Bacterial small subunit ribosomal RNA", at positions 322 to 807 of the family's 1533-position model. The record is from RNAcentral.